AGCAGCCGCGGUAAUUCCAGCUCCAAUAGCGUAUAUUAAAGUUGUUGCAGUUAAAAAGCUCGUGGUUGAAUUUCGGGAUCAAUACGUCGAUCGUGCUUCGGUACGUACUGGUGUCAUUGAUUUCUCCCUUCUGACGAACCAUGAUGUCAUUAACUUGGUGUCAUGGGAAACUCGACGU
This 178-nucleotide ribosomal RNA is filed under the name uncultured Glomus. RNAcentral describes it as "partial 18S ribosomal RNA". It matches the Rfam family "Eukaryotic small subunit ribosomal RNA", at positions 569 to 746 of the family's 1831-position model. Lineage: Eukaryota; Fungi; Glomeromycota; Glomeromycetes; Glomerales; Glomeraceae. The record is from RNAcentral.